Molecule: long non-coding RNA, 364 nt
Filed under: Brassica napus (rape)
Lineage: Eukaryota; Viridiplantae; Streptophyta; Magnoliopsida; Brassicales; Brassicaceae
Description: long non-coding RNA (BNAP_LNC009643)
Source: RNAcentral
AGUCCAUGGAUUAACAAAUGUGAGUAAAUGCGUUAUUCAUGUUACGUGUUGUGGCCUUUGUAAUUUGGCAUUAGUUUGGUAGAAAGCAUCAUAAAAGGGGCACGUGAGAGAAGUGGAGGAGAUUAUGAAAGAUCCAAACUAGGAAGAGAGACAUGGAGAAUCCUUUGGAUUGACAAAGACAAACCCCGAGGUUUAGUGCAGUGUUCUUGGCCACUGUUCUCCAUUGAGCCAAGUACGGACCAAUUUAAAUAUAUAUAUUAUAUCCGUCUACUCUAUUUAUGUAUAUACACUGUUACCAUAAGAUUCGUAUAUAAUAAUUGGUUAUAGGUUAUGUGUGUGUUACUUAGGAUUAUAACUGAGAUUA